RNAcentral lists this long non-coding RNA (1160 nucleotides) under Canis lupus familiaris (dog). RNAcentral describes it as "lncRNA (ENSCAFG00040011125.1)". The record is from RNAcentral. Lineage: Eukaryota; Metazoa; Chordata; Mammalia; Carnivora; Canidae.
AUACACUUUCUUUCCAGGUUCAAAAACACUGACCUGCACAGCAGCUUCCAUUCCUUGGCUUUGAAUCAAAGCUUCCUGGGUGAAUCAUGGGACUGGAAGCCCUCCAACAAGAAUUUGGGUGCUGUCUGGCCGUGUGAUCAUGGACUUAGAAAGCAUAACUCCAACCGGUCCUUAGAGGCUGCUUUGUGGAUUGCUAAAGGCCAUCCAAAAUCCAAUUUUGUUGUUGUUGGAAUGCAACAUCAUCCUGCACUUACAGAAUUAUCCUUUAAGAACUGCAGAGUGCUUUUCAAAUGAAGAUGCAUCUUCCUGAUGAACUAGAAGGAAAAAUGAAGGAACUGGAUGAUUUAUAUAUCUUCUUGCAAUAGGAGAGUGAAUUGGCAAAAUGUGAAAGAAUAAAAUACCAGAGUCUCCGCCCCCUCUUACUAGCAUCCUGUAUUGUAAAACUUAACUUUCUUUUUCUUCAGAAAUUCUUGGAAUUAUGUCAGGCAAAAAAAAAAAAAAAAAAAAAAAAGCAACUUGAUCUUUGGCUUUGGGGUACUUUAUAACAAGGAUGUAAAGCAGCUACGAAUCUGGGAAUCCAUACACAAUGAUGUCCUUUUGAAAGGCAUUUGGCAUUGAAAAGCAUCAAGGCUAUUUUCUUUAAUGAGGAGCUUGCAUUUGCUCUGUAAAUUAUUUCAUCAAACUGUCUAUUUUAAAGCAAUUGAUAAUCCUAGGGAAGCAUUACCAUAAGCAACACAUUUUAACUGUUGCUAGCAUGUCAGGCAAGAAAAUAAAUACCAUGAUAUAUCAGACCAAUAACAAGUCAGAAAAAUACUGUCUCUGAGAGGGAGAUGAAAGAAUUUUUCUGACCGGGUAUAAUACAGUGGAAUUAUUUGUUGUACUGUGGUAUGAUACUAAACUCAGUAUGUUAGGUCCAAUUUGGGUAUAAUCAAGACUCUUUGAAAAACAAUUGCCCAUGAAACACCAUAUGCAUGGUUUAGGUAUGAACCCUGAGCAAAACAAAUGGAAGGCUGCAUGCCUCCUUCUGAUGCUUUGCCUUUAAACUAAAUGAAUAGAAGACCGGCGGAGAAUUCUUUAGUAGUCCCAAUUGCCUGCAGGGUUUGUGUACUCCUUGAUAAUAUAAAGCUGUAUAAAAAUCACAAUGUUCAUAGCAAUUUUUU